RNAcentral lists this ribosomal RNA (253 nucleotides) under uncultured Prosthecobacter sp. RNAcentral's name for it is "partial 16S ribosomal RNA". It matches the Rfam family "Bacterial small subunit ribosomal RNA", at positions 524 to 776 of the family's 1533-position model. Lineage: Bacteria; Pseudomonadati; Verrucomicrobiota; Verrucomicrobiia; Verrucomicrobiales; Verrucomicrobiaceae. The record is from RNAcentral.
UACAGAGGUCUCAAGCGUUGUUCGGAAUCACUGGGCGUAAAGGGUGCGUAGGUGGCGUGGUAAGUCAGAUGUGAAAGCCCGGGGCUCAACCUCGGAAUUGCAUCCGAUACUGCCAUGCUUGAGUAUUGGAGAGGAGUCUAGAAUUCACGGUGUAGCAGUGAAAUGCGUAGAUAUCGUGAGGAAUACCAAAGGCGAAGGCAGGACUCUGGACAAUUACUGACACUGAGGCACGAAGGCUAGGGGAGCGAACGGG